UAAAAAGGUGAGCCAACCUGACCAAGGCUGCGCGUCGUUCCUUUCUUUGCUUCUGCUGAAGGUUUGAUUGACAGCCGAGAGGCCAGCUGUUAGACACUCAGCCCCACUCUCUGCGGAUCUUCGUCACUCUGUCGUCGUGUCUGUGACUUUUUCCUGUCUGUAUUUGCUUCACGUUGAGCCUCACGCACAAUACCUGAAGAUGAAGUUUUGUUCGUUCGGCUCGCGUUAUGCAGGUACGGGUUGGCAACUGGAAAAAGGCACAAAAUGGCACACUUUUUGUUGUUGUUGUUGUUUUGGAAGCACCAUCACGCCUUUAUUCACACACGAAUGAUGACAGUUUGUUUAAGGAGGCUUUUGCACUGGCUUUUUCUUAGAGUAACUUGAAUGAAAUAAAUGAAGCCAGAUGUUGCUGCCUUACGCAAUACUGCAGCACGAUACGCCAAAAUCUUGUGAUGAGUACAAAUAAAUUCUUUAAGAAAAAGAAUUGGAUUCAGGCAAUUUGAAAACAACACGGUUUCAGUAGAAGUGAAGCACCAGGUGUCCAGAACAUGUCACUGGAAAGUUGAUCUUAUUUGCAUACAGGUGUGUGUGUGUGUGUGUGUGUGUGUGUGAGUGAGUCAGCAGCAUCAUGCUGCCCUGACCUGUGCAGUCACUCAUUUACUGAAAAAGGUGCAUUUAAAAAUAAUCUAAGUUGUAAAAACAAACAAAAAAAAAGAUUGGUUGGUUUGUGGUUAAAGAGGACAAUUAAAGGGAGGGUAACGGCAGUUUAAUUCAGUUGCUCUCAGAUGUUAUCAAGACAGGAAGUCUCAGCUCAGGUCCAACUUUUUCUCUUAGAGAAAAAAUAAUGUAUGUAAAAGUAAGACUGUGAAUUCUGGUCUCGCAUCAAACCAUAUGUACAUGCGCUUGUGUCUCCUCAGCUCAGUAAAAAACAUGUAACUGAUGACGGGGAAGUGUUCAAGUGAGUUUUUAGUCAUGUGCCUAUUCAAAGUGAAAAGACUGACAUUUACUGUGGUCAGGGCGAUGAUCGGUGUCUCCUCACGGGGGGCUUUUUCUCUGCUAAUCAUUUUCCCAUUGUCACAUUCAUGAUGACAGCAUGUUCUUUCCACUGGGAGCCUAUUCAUUACUGCCCAUCUUCUACGUCAUGGGAUGAGGCUGCAGGCGAGCACCGUGGAGCAGGGAGAUGGGCUUAAUGGGAGUUUAUGUUAAUCAUUAACUAAACAUUAACCACACACACACACACACACACACUGAUAUGGGACAUCUGUCAUGUUGAUUAAGAUGUAGUACUCAGCCUUUUUGUUUGGUUAUACCAGCCGUUGCUCAUGUUAAAGAUCAUUAUACAAUAUACGCCUUUUUACAUAUACACAUUUUGUAUUCAACUCUCACCUUUACUGGGAAACAACUUAUUGAGUUGAGGUUUCACACUUACAUGUACAGACAUGAUAGAACAAGCAACGUGCCAUAAAAACACAGUCCAAGCUUCAUUUUCUUAUUGUUUUAUAUACUACACUUGUGCACCAGCACUGUGUAGAGAGCAGACAUAAAUAAAACACUUCAUUUCUCUUCUUUAUUUGGCAGAAAUCCAAACACGUUAUGUUGUACAGUUUAUGAAUGGAGCGUCUGGAGCAUUUGUGACACUUUAAAAAGCCUAAAUAGUCCUUUUGAACAUGCGAACACAUAUUUAUGUCCUUUGAUUUAUUUUAGUUGCUUUAGAGGUAUCUUAUCUUAUUUAUCAUACUGUACAGCUCUUUGGUCCACUGUGGUUGUCUUUAAAGUGCUUUACAAAUAAAGUUGGAUUGGAUUGGA
Solea solea (common sole) is the source of this 1806-nucleotide long non-coding RNA. RefSeq lists it as uncharacterized. The transcript is spliced from 2 exons. The record is from RefSeq and is a predicted model, not a curated record. NCBI's taxonomy places the organism in Eukaryota, Metazoa, Chordata, Actinopteri, Pleuronectiformes, Soleidae.